CGUUGAUGUAGAUGGCAUGAAAACGGAAACAACAAGUAUGCCGGCUCACUGUGCUGCAUACAGUUACACACUGCGUCCUAUGAUUGAGACAAGGAAACUUGGAAUGACUUUUCAUAGGUUUCCCAGAGACUAUGGGUUGAGGAGGAAGUGGAAGUUUGUCAGCUUAGACCUGGUGUCAUUCCAUCAGUGUUUAACUUCCCGGCUCAUCUUGGAAGAGUAUGUGCCAGAAAGACCACAAACAAGCAGCCUUGAGAUGUUAGACAGCGUCUCCCUGAGGUCCCUCUCUAUCUCCCCACAUAUCCACCAACCACUGGAACACAUCUCCAAAGUUCUGCUGGGCCAGCUCAGCUUCCCCUCAGAAGAAGUGCCGCCACCUGCCAGAUGAAGGAGCCUUUUGAGAGGCAGCUGGCAUCGUGAUUGGACUGUACUUUGGUCUGUUCCAAUCCAGCUUCAGCUCCAGAGACGGCAGGCGGGACGAGUCAACGGAGGCCGGAUGGACGAAGGCAUGCAGCUGAGUACAAUCCAGAAAACAACAGAGGAGGAGUGCAGGGCCAGAACAACCAGAGUAGCACAUUAUGUCUCUUAGAAAACAUCAUAGUAGAGCCUUUGGGAUGAAAAAACGCCAUCAUAUACAUCGUAUAUUGUACAAAUAAGUCAAAGGAAAGAGACAUCAACUGUAGAAUUGUAGUAAUUGUGGACUGACUGAUUUACUGAUUAUCAGUAUUUUAUUUUUUACCGAUUUACGGUAAUAAAUACAUUUAAAAAUGGUGCUACUUUGGCUCUGAACCUUUAUCUAC
Molecule: long non-coding RNA, 797 nt
Organism: Amphiprion ocellaris (clown anemonefish)
Lineage: Eukaryota; Metazoa; Chordata; Actinopteri; Pomacentridae
Source: Ensembl